This 501-nucleotide ribosomal RNA is filed under the name uncultured bacterium. RNAcentral's name for it is "partial 16S ribosomal RNA". It matches the Rfam family "Bacterial small subunit ribosomal RNA", at positions 29 to 523 of the family's 1533-position model. The record is from RNAcentral.
AUUGAACGCUGGCGGCAUGCCUUACACAUGCAAGUCGAACGGCAGCACGGGUGCUUGCACCUGGUGGCGAGUGGCGAACGGGUGAGUAAUACAUCGGAACGUACCUUAUCGUGGGGGAUAACGCAGCGAGAGCUGUGCUAAUACCGCAUACGCCCUGAGGGGGAAAGCGGGGGAUCGAAAGACCUCGCGCGAUUAGAGCGGCCGAUGCCUGAUUAGCUUGUUGGUGGGGUAAAAGCCCACCAAGGCGACGAUCAGUAGCUGGUCUGAGAGGACGAUCCGCCACACGGGGACUGGGACACGGCCCAGACUCCUACGGGAGGCAGCAGUGGGGAAUUUUGGACAAUGGGGGCAACCCUGAUCCAGCAAUGCCGCGUGAGUGAAGAAGGCCUUCGGGUUGUAAAGCUCUUUUGUCAGGGAAGAAACACCGGCUCUAACACAGUCCGGGAAUGACGGUACCUGAAGAAUAAGCACCGGCUAACUACGUGCCAGCAGCCGCAGUAA